UACGUAAGGGGCAAGCGUUGUCCGGAAUCACUGGGCGUAAAGGGCGCGUAGGCGGUUCGGUAAGUCGGGAGUGAAAGCGCUGGGCUCAACCCAGCAAUGGCUCUCGAGACUGCCGUGCUAGAGGAUCCUAGGGGAUGCUGGAAUUCCAGGUGUAGCGGUGAAAUGCGUAGAUAUCUGGGAGAACACCCGUGGCGAAGGCGGGCAUCUGGGGGAUUCCUGACGCUGAGGCGCGAAAGCUAGGGGAGCGAACGGGAUUAGAAACCCCAGUAGUCC
RNAcentral lists this ribosomal RNA (273 nucleotides) under uncultured bacterium. RNAcentral describes it as "partial 16S ribosomal RNA". It matches the Rfam family "Bacterial small subunit ribosomal RNA", at positions 524 to 796 of the family's 1533-position model. The record is from RNAcentral.